RNAcentral lists this long non-coding RNA (355 nucleotides) under Mytilus galloprovincialis (Mediterranean mussel). Lineage: Eukaryota; Metazoa; Mollusca; Bivalvia; Mytilida; Mytilidae. The record is from RNAcentral.
GAAAUAAAGUAGUAUCAUCAGCUAAUUGUGAAAUUUUAAUUCUAUGAUUUUUAUUAUCUAGUUUAACUACGAACCCUUUGAUAUCUCUGUUUUUUCGAAGUCUUAAAGCCAUGAUCUCCACGGAUAAAACGAAAAGAAGAGCUGAUAAGGGACACCCCUGCCUUAUUCCUCUUGAGUUAUGAAAUAUUUCUGAAAUCCAUCCAUUAUUAAUAACACAAGUUUGUAACCCAGUAAUAUAAUGUUUUUACCCAGUUUAUAAAAGAUUCAUUAAAUCCAAAAUGUUUCAAAGUGAUUAACAUAAAAUCCCAUUCUAAAGAAUCAAAAGCUUUAGUAAAAUCUACAAAAACUAUUGCCC